CUGAGCGAAGUGCGAACCUGAAUUGCCCAGUAUGCCCAUGAUCUGCCCACUGUCCACGUGGAAGGAGACAUCACUGAGGAUCUGACGAGUCCAUCGCUUCCUGUAGGAGGAAUCCAAUCAAUCCCCACUGUGAAAAUGAUCAUCAUUUGAUUUGAAACUUUUACCUGACUGUGUAGGAGAUGUUGCUGACACUGAGACAACAGGAGGGCUCUGAUUGCUCUGAUCGCUCCUCUCUAUUGUUCUGCCAUACAUCCCUCUUCUCCUCCAACACAA
Molecule: long non-coding RNA, 273 nt
Organism: Perca fluviatilis (European perch)
Lineage: Eukaryota; Metazoa; Chordata; Actinopteri; Perciformes; Percidae
Exons: 3
Source: RefSeq, a predicted model, not a curated record